This is a non-coding RNA of Oryctolagus cuniculus (rabbit), 561 nucleotides long. The record is from RefSeq and is a predicted model, not a curated record. NCBI's taxonomy places the organism in Eukaryota, Metazoa, Chordata, Mammalia, Lagomorpha, Leporidae.
GAGACAUCUCACUACACCCAGGAGCAGCCACUUCCCCAGCUCUCCUCCUCCUCCUUCGCCUCCUCCUCCUCCACUCCCCCCCUUUAUUACCCUUUGUGUCAUCCUCCACAGCUCCAGGGAAGGCACUCAAAAGUGGGGGGCAGGAAAGACAGUUAUCAACUUUCCAGUUUUCUAUGGAUAUGAAGAUUUACUCCUAGUCAUCAGUGGGACCCCAUGAAGUCAGCCAGAAAGCCUUUGUCCAACUUAUGUACCUUUGUAAACUUGUCUGGAUUUUGAAUGUUGAGAGCACAAAUGAACAAAGAAGAAUAUGCAACAAAAACUAUGAACAUUGAAGAUGGGAGUUUCUGCAUGUGGGAACUAGACACUGAAGCUUUAUGGUUUACAGACAAGAUCUUUAGAAGUUAGACACUCAAGGACCAAGAAAAUAAACACCAGAAACCAAGAGCACAAAAUAUUUUCUUCAUCAGUACAUAGAAUCCUGAUAUUUCUCUAAUUCCAUCAGACGCAGAGGAAUGACUACCUUGGUAGAUGGCCACAGAGGAUGUCAACAAUUUUUUGGAG